Molecule: long non-coding RNA, 959 nt
Filed under: Anas platyrhynchos platyrhynchos (common mallard)
Lineage: Eukaryota; Metazoa; Chordata; Aves; Anseriformes; Anatidae
Description: lncRNA (ENSAPLG00000018738.1)
Source: RNAcentral
GAAUACAUAUUUUUCCUAGUCUGACUGCAUCUCUACUGGAUGCCACAUUGUGUAUAGAAGCAUAUAGAAGACUGAAAUUGUCCUGGAAAGAGGCUGAAUCGCAAUCAGAAACAUCUUUCUUUUCCUAUUCCAAAAGGAGAAGUGUGUCUUUGAAAUGCUAUAUGGAAAGCAAAGUUCCUGUGAAGCUCUCUGGCUUCAGAAGAAGUUCCAACAUUGGACUGAAAGUGGCAAUUCAAGACAGAAUUGGACCAUUUGAUAGACCAGUAGAUUUUUUUUUGUAGUUGGGCAAAGCAAACACAUACUUCAGCACCUCUGCGUGUUUGAGUGCUUCAGGACAUGAGAGCAUUACACCUACAUACUCCCCAUGUGACAUUCCCAGAAUGGUAUCUGGCGUUAAAUUCUGUUAUCUUUUGUGUGUAAUUAUGUGACUUUGAAUUCCCUUUUUAAGAAAUACUCAUCAUGAAUACAAAAUGCUCAUUUUCAAAUAUCAUCACAAAAAAAUCCAUUAUUUUCACUAUGUUUUCUGUCUUUCAGCUGUGCUUUCUGGUCAUUUUUAAAGCUUAAUCCAUCCUUUUGUGAUCUUCGCCAUGGGAAAGGUAAAUGUAAAUCUUUCCAAUAGCAAAGAAACAAAUGGAAUGAAAAAGAAAACUGUUUUGUUUUGACAGAAGUGUUAAAAUUAAAGCAUAGAAUGCAAGGGUAAAGCUCUGCUCUUCAGAGGAUUGUUUAGACUUCAUAGUAAUUAUUCAUUUUAUAUGCUUAUAUUUAAGGAUAGAUAAGAACGACCACAUUCACAUUUUUGUACUGUGUCAAGGGAAAGGUUGCAAAUCAACAUGAAGCUUGUGACUUUUUUUUUCUAUAUCCCUGACGUAAUAUUUUAUUUUACUUUAUUUUAUUUUGUAUUACAGAUGAAACCAGAUGAUUGCCUGGGUGCAAGCAGGGAGCAGCAAAGACCCUUGAUC